This 1304-nucleotide ribosomal RNA is filed under the name Staphylococcus epidermidis. Its description in RNAcentral is "bacterial SSU rRNA". It matches the Rfam family "Bacterial small subunit ribosomal RNA", at positions 57 to 1343 of the family's 1533-position model. Lineage: Bacteria; Bacillati; Bacillota; Bacilli; Caryophanales; Staphylococcaceae. The record is from RNAcentral.
GCAGUCGAGCGAACAGACGAGGAGCUUGCUCCUCUGACGUUAGCGGCGGACGGGUGAGUAACACGUGGAUAACCUACCUAUAAGACUGGGAUAACUUCGGGAAACCGGAGCUAAUACCGGAUAAUAUAUUGAACCGCAUGGUUCAAUAGUGAAAGACGGUUUUGCUGUCACUUAUAGAUGGAUCCGCGCCGCAUUAGCUAGUUGGUAAGGUAACGGCUUACCAAGGCAACGAUGCGUAGCCGACCUGAGAGGGUGAUCGGCCACACUGGAACUGAGACACGGUCCAGACUCCUACGGGAGGCAGCAGUAGGGAAUCUUCCGCAAUGGGCGAAAGCCUGACGGAGCAACGCCGCGUGAGUGAUGAAGGUCUUCGGAUCGUAAAACUCUGUUAUUAGGGAAGAACAAAUGUGUAAGUAACUAUGCACGUCUUGACGGUACCUAAUCAGAAAGCCACGGCUAACUACGUGCCAGCAGCCGCGGUAAUACGUAGGUGGCAAGCGUUAUCCGGAAUUAUUGGGCGUAAAGCGCGCGUAGGCGGUUUUUUAAGUCUGAUGUGAAAGCCCACGGCUCAACCGUGGAGGGUCAUUGGAAACUGGAAAACUUGAGUGCAGAAGAGGAAAGUGGAAUUCCAUGUGUAGCGGUGAAAUGCGCAGAGAUAUGGAGGAACACCAGUGGCGAAGGCGACUUUCUGGUCUGUAACUGACGCUGAUGUGCGAAAGCGUGGGGAUCAAACAGGAUUAGAUACCCUGGUAGUCCACGCCGUAAACGAUGAGUGCUAAGUGUUAGGGGGUUUCCGCCCCUUAGUGCUGCAGCUAACGCAUUAAGCACUCCGCCUGGGGAGUACGACCGCAAGGUUGAAACUCAAAGGAAUUGACGGGGACCCGCACAAGCGGUGGAGCAUGUGGUUUAAUUCGAAGCAACGCGAAGAACCUUACCAAAUCUUGACAUCCUCUGACCCCUCUAGAGAUAGAGUUUUCCCCUUCGGGGGACAGAGUGACAGGUGGUGCAUGGUUGUCGUCAGCUCGUGUCGUGAGAUGUUGGGUUAAGUCCCGCAACGAGCGCAACCCUUAAGCUUAGUUGCCAUCAUUAAGUUGGGCACUCUAAGUUGACUGCCGGUGACAAACCGGAGGAAGGUGGGGAUGACGUCAAAUCAUCAUGCCCCUUAUGAUUUGGGCUACACACGUGCUACAAUGGACAAUACAAAGGGCAGCGAAACCGCGAGGUCAAGCAAAUCCCAUAAAGUUGUUCUCAGUUCGGAUUGUAGUCUGCAACUCGACUAUAUGAAGCUGGAAUCGCUAGUAAUC